Molecule: ribosomal RNA, 241 nt
Filed under: uncultured bacterium
Lineage: Bacteria
Description: partial 16S ribosomal RNA
Rfam family: Bacterial small subunit ribosomal RNA
Source: RNAcentral
UAACACGUGGGUGACCUACCUUCGAAUGGGGGAUAACGGCCCGAAAGGGACGCUAAUACCGCAUAACAUCCUGUCCUUGAAUGGGCGGAGAUCAAAGCUGGGGAUCGUAAGACCUGGCGUUUGGAGAGGGACCUGCGCCCGAUUAGCUAGUUGGUGAGGUAAUGGCUCACCAAGGCUCCGAUCGGUAUCCGGCCUGAGAGGGCGGACGGACACACUGGAACUGAGACACGGUCCAGACUCC